CUAUGCGCCUUGCCAGCCCGCUCAGUCAGAGUUUGAUCCUGGCUCAGGACGAACGCUGGCGGCGUGCUUAACACAUGCAAGUCGAACGGUGAUCCCAGGAGCUUGCUUCUGGGUGAGCAGUGGCGAACGGGUGAGUAACACGUGAGUAACCUGCCCCUGACUCUGGAAUAAGCGCUGGAAACGGCGUCUAAUACCGGAUACGAGACGCAACCGCAUGGUUAGUGUCUGGAAAGUUUUUCGGUCUGGGAUGGACUCGCGGCCUAUCAGCUUGUUGGUGAGGUAAUGGCUCACCAAGGCGAUGACGGGUAGCCGGCCUGAGAGGGCGAUCGGCCACACUGGGACUGAGACACGGCCCAG
RNAcentral lists this ribosomal RNA (357 nucleotides) under uncultured bacterium. RNAcentral describes it as "bacterial SSU rRNA". It matches the Rfam family "Bacterial small subunit ribosomal RNA", at positions 1 to 334 of the family's 1533-position model. The record is from RNAcentral.